RNAcentral lists this ribosomal RNA (494 nucleotides) under uncultured bacterium. RNAcentral describes it as "partial 16S ribosomal RNA". It matches the Rfam family "Bacterial small subunit ribosomal RNA", at positions 27 to 507 of the family's 1533-position model. The record is from RNAcentral.
GGACGAACGCUGGCGGCGUGCCUAACCCAUGCAAGUUGAGCGACGAACCAGGGCUUGCCCUGGGGCAAAGCAGCGAACGGGUGAGUAACACGUGGGUAACCUACCCCGAUAACCGGGACAACCCGAGGAAACUCGGGCUAAUACCGGAUGUGCUCACUGGACUUCGGUUCAGUGCGUAAAGGAAGCUUCGGCCUCCGUAUCGGGAGGGGCCCGCGGCCCAUUAGUUUGUUGGUGAGGUAACGGCUCACCAAGACCGCGAUGGGUAGCUGGUCUGAGAGGACGAUCAGCCACACUGGGACUGAGACACGGCCCAGACUCCUACGGGAGGCAGCAGUGGGGAAUCUUGCGCAAUGCGCGAAAGCGUGACGCAGCAACGCCGCGUGGGGGAAGAAGGCCUUCGGGUUGUAAACCCCUUUCAGGAGGGACGAAGGUUCGGCGGUGAAUAGCCGUCCGGACUGACGGUACCUCCACAAGAAGCCCCGGCUAACUACGUG